GCCGGAGGGAAACCGAGUCUUAACCGGGCGUUAAGUUGCAGGGUAUAGACCCGAAACCCGGUGAUCUAGCCAUGGGCAGGUUGAAGGUUGGGUAACACUAACUGGAGGACCGAACCGACUAAUGUUGAAAAAUUAGCGGAUGACCUGUGGCUGGGGGUGAAAGGCCAAUCAAACCGGGAGAUAGCUGGUUCUCCCCGAAAGCUAUUUAGGUAGCGCCUCGUGAAUUCAUCUCCGGGGGUAGAGCACUGUUUCGGCUAGGGGGCCAUCCCGGCUUACCAACCCGAUGCAAACUGCGAAUACCGGAGAAUGUUAUCACGGGAGACACACGGCGGGUGCUAACGUCCGUCGUGAAGAGGGAAACAACCCAGACCGCCAGCUAAGGUCCCAAAGUCAUGGUUAAGUGGGAAACGAUGUGGGAAGGCCCAGACAGCCAGGAUGUUGGCUUAGAAGCAGCCAUCAUUUAAAGAAAGCGUAAUAGCUCACUGGUCGAGUCGGCCUGCGCGGAAGAUGUAACGGGGCUAAACCAUGCACCGAAGCUGCGGCAGCGACACUGUGUGUUGUUGGGUAGGGGAGCGUUCUGUAAGCCUGUGAAGGUGUGUCGUGAGGCAUGCUGGAGGUAUCAGAAGUGCGAAUGCUGACAUAAGUAACGAUAAAGCGGGUGAAAAGCCCGCUCGCCGGAAGACCAAGGGUUCCUGUCCAACGUUAAUCGGGGCAGGGUGAGUCGACCCCUAAGGCGAGGCCGAAAGGCGUAGUCGAUGGGAAACGGGUUAAUAUUCCCGUACUUGGUGUUACUGCGAAGGGGGGACGGAGAAGGCUAUGUUGGCCGGGCGACGGUUGUCCCGGUUUAAGCGUGUAGGUGUGUGUUCCAGGUAAAUCCGGUUCACUUUAACACUGAGGCGUGAUGACGAGGCACUACGGUGCUGAAGCAACAAAUGCCCUGCUUCCAGGAAAAGCCUCUAAGCAUCAGGUAACAUCAAAUCGUACCCCAAACCGACACAGGUGGUCAGGUAGAGAAUACCAAGGCGCUUGAGAGAACUCGGGUGAAGGAACUAGGCAAAAUGGUGCCGUAACUUCGGGAGAAGGCACGCUGACACGUAGGUGAAGUGAUUUACUCAUGGAGCUGAAGUCAGUCGAAGAUACCAGCUGGCUGCAACUGUUUAUUAAAAACACAGCACUGUGCAAACACGAAAGUGGACGUAUACGGUGUGACGCCUGCCCGGUGCCGGAAGGUUAAUUGAUGGGGUCAGCGCAAGCGAAGCUCCUGAUCGAAGCCCCGGUAAACGGCGGCCGUAACUAUAACGGUCCUAAGGUAGCGAAAUUCCUUGUCGGGUAAGUUCCGACCUGCACGAAUGGCGUAAUGAUGGCCAGGCUGUCUCCACCCGAGACUCAGUGAAAUUGAACUCGCUGUGAAGAUGCAGUGUACCCGCGGCAAGACGGAAAGACCCCGUGAACCUUUACUAUAGCUUGACACUGAACAUUGAGCCUUGAUGUGUAGGAUAGGUGGGAGGCUUUGAAGUGUGGACGCCAGUCUGCAUGGAGCCGACCUUGAAAUACCACCCUUUAAUGUUUGAUGUUCUAACGUGGACCCGUGAUCCGGGUUGCGGACAGUGUCUGGUGGGUAGUUUGACUGGGGCGGUCUCCUCCUAAAGAGUAACGGAGGAGCACGAAGGUUGGCUAAUCCUGGUCGGACAUCAGGAGGUUAGUGCAAUGGCAUAAGCCAGCUUGACUGCGAGCGUGACGGCGCGAGCAGGUGCGAAAGCAGGUCAUAGUGAUCCGGUGGUUCUGAAUGGAAGGGCCAUCGCUCAACGGAUAAAAGGUACUCCGGGGAUAACAGGCUGAUACCGCCCAAGAGUUCAUAUCGACGGCGGUGUUUGGCACCUCGAUGUCGGCUCAUCACAUCCUGGGGCUGAAGUAGGUCCCAAGGGUAUGGCUGUUCGCCAUUUAAAGUGGUACGCGAGCUGGGUUUAGAACGUCGUGAGACAGUUCGGUCCCUAUCUGCCGUGGGCGCUGGAGAACUGAGGGGGGCUGCUCCUAGUACGAGAGGACCGGAGUGGACGCAUCACUGGUGUUCGGGUUGUCAUGCCAAUGGCACUGCCCGGUAGCUAAAUGCGGAAGAGAUAAGUGCUGAAAGCA
RNAcentral lists this ribosomal RNA (2133 nucleotides) under Salmonella enterica subsp. enterica serovar Newport. Its description in RNAcentral is "partial 23S ribosomal RNA". It matches the Rfam family "Bacterial large subunit ribosomal RNA", at positions 665 to 2779 of the family's 2925-position model. The record is from RNAcentral. Lineage: Bacteria; Pseudomonadati; Pseudomonadota; Gammaproteobacteria; Enterobacterales; Enterobacteriaceae.